Molecule: transfer RNA, 75 nt
Filed under: Clostridiales bacterium
Lineage: Bacteria; Bacillati; Bacillota; Clostridia; Eubacteriales
Description: tRNA-Glu
Rfam family: tRNA
About the family: Transfer RNA (tRNA) molecules are approximately 80 nucleotides in length. Their secondary structure includes four short double-helical elements and three loops (D, anti-codon, and T loops). Further hydrogen bonds mediate the characteristic L-shaped molecular structure. tRNAs have two regions of fundamental functional importance: the anti-codon, which is responsible for specific mRNA codon recognition, and the 3' end, to which the tRNAs corresponding amino acid is attached (by aminoacyl-tRNA synthetases). tRNAs cope with the degeneracy of the genetic code in two manners: having more than one tRNA (with a specific anti-codon) for a particular amino acid; and 'wobble' base-pairing, i.e. permitting non-standard base-pairing at the 3rd anti-codon position.
Source: RNAcentral
GGCCCCAUGGUCAAGCGGUUAAGACGUCACCCUUUCACGGUGAAAUCAUGGGUUCGAGUCCCGUUGGGGUCACCA